RNAcentral lists this ribosomal RNA (482 nucleotides) under uncultured bacterium. RNAcentral describes it as "bacterial SSU rRNA". It matches the Rfam family "Bacterial small subunit ribosomal RNA", at positions 28 to 507 of the family's 1533-position model. The record is from RNAcentral.
GACGAACGCUGGCGGCGUGCCUAACACAUGCAAGUCGAGCGGAGAUGAUAUGAGGAAGUUUUCGGAUGGAAUCACAUUAUUUUAGCGGCGGACGGGUGAGUAACGCGUGAGCGACCAACCUUGCACAGGGGGAUAACGGACCGAAAGGUUCACUAAUACCGCAUGAGACCACGGUGUUGCAUGACACAGAGGUCAAAGGAGCAAUCCGGUGCAAGACGGGCUCGCGUCCGAUUAGGUAGUUGGAGGGGUAACGGCCCACCAAGCCUAUGAUCGGUAGCCGACCUGAGAGGGUGAUCGGCCACAUUGGAACUGAGAUACGGUCCAAACUCCUACGGGAGGCAGCAGUGGGGAAUAUUGGGCAAUGGGGGAAACCCUGACCCAGCAACGCCGCGUGAAGGAAGAAGGUUUUCGGAUUGUAAACUUCUGUCCUUGGUGAAGAGAAGAAGACGGUAGCCAAGGAGGAAGCCCCGGCUAACUACGUG